Molecule: ribosomal RNA, 526 nt
Filed under: Cladosporium sp.
Lineage: Eukaryota; Fungi; Ascomycota; Dothideomycetes; Cladosporiales; Cladosporiaceae
Description: eukaryotic LSU rRNA
Rfam family: 5.8S ribosomal RNA (bases 161-314)
Source: RNAcentral
CAUUACAGAAACGCCCGGGCUUCGGCCUGGUUAUUCAUAACCCUUUGUUGUCCGACUCUGNUGCCUCCGGGGCGACCCUGCCUUCGGGCGGGGGCUCCGGGUGGACACUUCAAACUCUUGCGUAACUUUGCAGUCUGAGUAAACUUAAUUAAUAAAUUAAAACUUUUAACAACGGAUCUCUUGGUUCUGGCAUCGAUGAAGAACGCAGCGAAAUGCGAUAAGUAAUGUGAAUUGCAGAAUUCAGUGAAUCAUCGAAUCUUUGAACGCACAUUGCGCCCCCUGGUAUUCCGGGGGGCAUGCCUGUUCGAGCGUCAUUUCACCACUCAAGCCUCGCUUGGUAUUGGGCAACGCGGUCCGCCGCGUGCCUCAAAUCGUCCGGCUGGGUCUUCUGUCCCCUAAGCGUUGUGGAAACUAUUCGCUAAAGGGUGUUCGGGAGGCUACGCCGUAAAACAACCCCAUUUCUAAGGUUGACCUCGGAUCAGGUAGGGAUACCCGCUGAACUUAAGCAUAUCAAUAAGCGGAGGAA